UGCUGAAAAAUGAAACAAUUA
RNAcentral lists this non-coding RNA (21 nucleotides) under Caenorhabditis elegans. Lineage: Eukaryota; Metazoa; Nematoda; Chromadorea; Rhabditida; Rhabditidae. The record is from RNAcentral.